AAGGGACCUAGCGUAGUUCGGAAUUACUGGGCUUAAAGAGUUCGUAGGUGGUUGAAAAAGUUGGUGGUGAAAUCCCAGAGCUUAACUCUGGAACUGCCAUCAAAACUUUUCAGCUAGAGUAUGAUAGAGGAAAGCAGAAUUUCUAGUGUAGAGGUGAAAUUCGUAGAUAUUAGAAAGAAUACCAAUUGCGAAGGCAGCUUUCUGGAUCAUUACUGACACUGAGGAACGAAAGCAUGGGUAGCGAAGAGGAUUAGAUACCCUCGUAGUCCAUGCCGUAAACGAUGUGUGUUAGACGUUGGAAAUUUAUUUUCAGUGUCGCAGGGAAACCGAUAAACACACCGCCUGGGGAGUACGACCGCAAGGUUAAAACUCAAAUGAAUUGACGGGGACCCGCACAAGUAGUGGAGCAUGUGGUUUAAUUCGAAGAUACGCGCAGAACCUUACCAACACUUGACAUGUUCGUCGCGACUCUAAGAAAUUAGAGUUUUCGGUUGGGCCGGACGAAACACAGGUGCUGCAUGGCUGUCGUCAGCUCGUGUCGUGAGAUGUUGGGUUAAGUCCCGCAACGAGCGCAACCCUCACUUUUAGUUGCCAUCAUUAAGUUGGGCACUCUGAAAGAACUGCCAGUGAUAAGCUGGAGGAAGGUGGGGAUGACGUCAAGUCCUCAUGGCCCUUACGUGUUGGGCUACACACGUGCUACAAUGGCAUCUACAACAGGAAGCAAAACGGCAACGUUAAGCAAAUCCCGAAAAGAUGCCUCAGUUCGGAUUGCACUCUGCAACUCGAGUGCAUGAAGCUGGAAUUACUAGUAAUCGUGGAUCAGCGUGCCACGGUGAAUGCGUUCCCGGGUCUUGUACACACCGCCCGUCACACCAUGGGAGUUGGUUCUACCUUAAGGCAAGGUUUCAAACCCUUGACCACGGUAUAGUCAGCGACUGGGGUGAAGUCGUAACAAGGUAGCCGUAGGGGAACCUGCGGCUGGAUUACCUCCUUUCUAAGGAUGAGUGAAAGUAAAAUUUCACUCUAAAUAAUAUACGUCGGCAAUGUUGACCGUCCUCAUUUCUCUUCUUAAAGUAAUGUUUCCUUCUUGUAGGGCCGGUAGCUCAGUUGGUUAGAGCACACCCUUGAUAAGGGUGGGGUCGAAAGUUCGAGUCUUUCUCGGCCCACCAAAAACCUAAAUGGGGGAUUAGCUCAUCUGGGAGAGCGCCUGAUUUGCAUUCAGGAGGUAGCAGGUUCGAUCCCUGUAUCCUCCACCAGGAAACAUUUAGUUAUUAAAACUGUAAAUAAAAAUAAUUUAUAUCAAUAUCUAUAUCCGAACAUUAAAAGUUAUUAUUUAAUGUUCAAAAUAAAAAUUUGAUCACAACAUAGAUAAAUUUUCUUUUUAAAGGAAUUUUUUUCUGUACAUAAAUCAAGCGUUUAAGGGCGUGUAGUGGAUGCCUUGGCACUGAGAGCCGAUGAAGGACGUGAUAUACUGCGAUAAGUUUCGGGGAGCUGUAUGUAAGCUUUGAUCCGAAAAUUU
This 1519-nucleotide small RNA is filed under the name uncultured Arctic sea ice bacterium. RNAcentral's name for it is "bacterial SSU rRNA". The stretch from base 1 to 994 matches the Rfam family "Bacterial small subunit ribosomal RNA", at positions 528 to 1533 of the family's 1533-position model. The record is from RNAcentral.